ACCACUCGCCGUAGGUAGCACGCUCCCCCUCUUCCUCAUCUCCAAAGUCCACCGCCCUCCGUGCCGAGCAACCGAAUCGGGAUCGAUCGUCUCCUCCCCGUCGCCGCCGCCUCGGGCUCGCUUGGUGCAGAUCGGGACCCUCCGCCCGCCCCGACGGGCCGGAUCCCGCCUUGCACCAAGUGAAUCGGAGCCGGCGCAGCGACCCCGCCCCCGCCCCCGCCCCCGCCGCCAGAAUUGGUUGACGCUCCGGUGACGUUGAUUUCGGCCGCCUUCUUCCCCUGGUUCGAUCGGUCCGACGCUGGUGAUUGAUUACUAACUACUCGCUGCCGGUCUUAUGUUCGAUUCCGUAGGUUCGCUCGUGCCUGUUGCGCGUUCGGAUGUUUGCCUGGAUUACGAAAUUCGCUAGAUCUAGAUCUGGCGCCUGGAUUUAAUUGUUGCCUGUUUGAUCUGACGGAUUUUUUGUUGCCAAGCAAGAUCUAAUCCUUCUUUUUUGCCAGGAUUCGUGCCAUGCUAUGGUGCAAAUUGAGCCCCCAAAUUGUGUUGCAGGGGAGGCCGUGGGACGCUAUGAGAUGGUUCGACUUAGUUGGUCAUGACGCGAAUUUCGAUUUGGAUCAUGGGGCGGGUCUUGUGUAUGGUACUGGUAGAUUCAGUAGUAUUUGGCGUGAUUGGACUGUGGAGAACAUUUAUUGAUGUAGAUGGAUGCUGGUAUCGUUUUACUACUUGUAGCAGGGGCGUAUCUCUGGCUAGCAGCUCUGUACUCUGCAGGUGACUGGUAAUUGCGGUGGACUUGUUUUGGGAGGAGACAUGCUCAGAUGAGUUGCAUGUGUAUCCUUCCACAUGCUUUAUUUAGCACAUUUGCUGUAGCCUGAUGUGAAUUGUCUUCAGGACAGAUGCUAAUUCCAGAGAUUUGAUUUGAAACCUGUAAGGUCUACAGUAGACUUUUUCUGUUCAUCUGGGGAAUUUCAGCCUUUUGAUUCAAGACCUAUCGGUAUGGUUUGAGCUUUGAUUUGUCAAAAGCUUACUAAACCUUAUUCAGCAGUGAUCAAAGUGGAUAGGCACAAGUAUCAAAGUUUACAUAGGGAUAGGUGUGUAGUUGCUAUUUUUUGUAUAGUUUUAACUACACUACAUAGGGGUGUAGCGAGCUAAUCUCGAUCCCGUCUGUGAAUCUUGAUAGGAGCAACAUGUACGGUUUCCAAUUUUUAUAGUGUGCCAAGUUUGUUGCUUCCUGGAUGUUUCACUAGUUAUAUGCUGUACCACGUGGUCAUUGUUUGUAUCAGAAUGAAGCAAAAGAGAAAAGUGAGUUUCUAACAGUAAAUUGGUCGAAUCCAAAGCGAC
This 1335-nucleotide ribosomal RNA is filed under the name Triticum aestivum (bread wheat). Its description in RNAcentral is "partial small subunit ribosomal RNA". The stretch from base 100 to 202 matches the Rfam family "MIR168 microRNA precursor family". Lineage: Eukaryota; Viridiplantae; Streptophyta; Magnoliopsida; Poales; Poaceae. The record is from RNAcentral.